CCAGGUUAUCGACUAGUCGCUCUGUACUUAAGGCUAUUAAUGAUGGAAUUAGCUUGAUGGUCAUAAGUACAGAGAGGAAAGUCCGGGCAACAUAAGGAAGGGCAGUUGCUAACAGCAACCAGAGGUAACUCUAGGGAAAGUGCCACAGAAACAAGACGGCCUCGUAUCCUUUGCUGAUAUCGGUUAUAUAUUGAGUAGAAUACCAGUAAUGGAUACGAGGUAAAGUUGAAAAGAGUAGGGUAAGAGCCUACAGUUGAUUAUGGCGACAUAACCAAAAGGUAAACCCUGUCUGUUGCAAGGUAGCGUAUCAUAUUGUGCGUUUUGUACAUUAGUAUCCUGCUAGAUAUGCGCGUGAAACCCGCUUGAUCUGCAAAGCAAUUUGUAGACUAGAUAGAUGACUAGUAAUAACAGAACCCGGCUUAUAGAUAGGCUGGCAUA
This 438-nucleotide RNase P RNA is filed under the name Candidatus Nomurabacteria bacterium. RNAcentral's name for it is "RNase P RNA component class A". It matches the Rfam family "Bacterial RNase P class A". From Rfam's summary of the family: Ribonuclease P (RNase P) is a ubiquitous endoribonuclease, found in archaea, bacteria and eukarya as well as chloroplasts and mitochondria. Its best characterised activity is the generation of mature 5'-ends of tRNAs by cleaving the 5'-leader elements of precursor-tRNAs. RNAcentral also lists the same sequence under 1 other name. Lineage: Bacteria; Candidatus Nomuraibacteriota. The record is from RNAcentral.